This 467-nucleotide ribosomal RNA is filed under the name uncultured bacterium. RNAcentral describes it as "partial 16S ribosomal RNA". It matches the Rfam family "Bacterial small subunit ribosomal RNA", at positions 29 to 507 of the family's 1533-position model. The record is from RNAcentral.
ACGAACGCUGGCGGCGGGCUUAACACAUGCAAGUCGAACGGAAAGGCCCUGCUUUUGUGGGGUGCUCGAGUGGCGAACGGGUGAGUAACACGUGAGUAACCUGCCCUUGACUUUGGGAUAACUUCAGGAAACUGGGGCUAAUACCGGAUAGGAGCUCCUGCUGCAUGGUGGGGGUUGGAAAGUUUCGGCGGUUGGGGAUGGACUCGCGGCUUAUCAGCUUGUUGGUGGGGUAGUGGCUUACCAAGGCGUUGACGGGUAGCCGGCCUGAGAGGGUGACCGGCCACAUUGGGACUGAGAUACGGCCCAGACUCCUACGGGAGGCAGCAGUGGGGAAUAUUGCACAAUGGGCGGAAGCCUGAUGCAGCAACGCCGCGUGCGGGAUGACGGCCUUCGGGUUGUAAACCGCUUUCGCCUGUGACGAAGCGUGAGUGACGGUAAUGGGUAAAGAAGCACCGGCUAACUACGUG